This 492-nucleotide ribosomal RNA is filed under the name uncultured bacterium. RNAcentral's name for it is "partial 16S ribosomal RNA". It matches the Rfam family "Bacterial small subunit ribosomal RNA", at positions 29 to 507 of the family's 1533-position model. The record is from RNAcentral.
AGUGAACGCUGGCGGUAGGCCUAACACAUGCAAGUCGAACGGCAGCACAGUAAGAGCUUGCUCUUACGGGUGGCGAGUGGCGGACGAGUGAGGAAUACAUCGGAAUCUACUUUUUCGUGGGGGAUAACGUAGGGAAACUUACGCUAAUACCGCAUACGACCUACGGGUGAAAGCAGGGGAUCUUCGGACCUUGCGCGAUUGAAUGAGCCGAUGUCGGAUUAGCUAGUUGGCGGGGUAAAGGCCCACCAAGGCGACGAUCCGUAGCUGGUCUGAGAGGAUGAUCGGCCACACUGGAACUGAGACACGGUCCAGACUCCUACGGGAGGCAGCAGUGGGGAAUAGUGGGCAAUGGGCGCAAGCCUGAUCCAGCCAUACCGCGUGGGUGAAGAAGGCCUUCGGGUUGUAAAGCCCUUUUGUUGGGAAAGAAAAGCAGCAGGUUAAUACCCCGCUGUUCUGACGGUACCCAAAGAAUAAGCACCGGCUAACUUCGUG